RNA transcript from Lolium rigidum, 1381 nucleotides. It is a transcript of the gene named 6-phosphofructo-2-kinase/fructose-2,6-bisphosphatase-like, with no coding region annotated. The transcript is spliced from 8 exons. Lineage: Eukaryota; Viridiplantae; Streptophyta; Magnoliopsida; Poales; Poaceae. The record is from RefSeq and is a predicted model, not a curated record.
CGUCCCACCUCCUGGUACUUACCUAUGUCGAGCACGCCUCCGCCGCGACCUCCCAACGACGCCUACAAGUCCUGCUCCUCUGCCUCCUCAGCCCCUCGGCUUCGCCGGUUUGGUGGUAGGCUCGGCUGCCCUGGCACUACUUCGACUACCUCGCCGUCUCCAUCUACCACGGCCUCGGCUACAACCACGACUGCACGCCCGAUUCAGAUUUGGACCAGCACUCUCCAGAGAACAAUUUUGACAGCAACUCCAAUUUUUGGAUUUCCAAAGAUACAAUGGCGUGCUCUUGACGAGAUCAAUUCUGGUGUGUGUGAUGGGAUGACAUAUGAAGAGAUAAAGAAAAUUAUGCCUGAGGAAUAUGAGUCACGCAAAAAGGACAAGCUGAGAUAUCGCUACCCCCGUGGGGAAUCUUACCUUGAUGUGAUUCAGAGGUUGGAACCUGUCAUCAUCGAGCUGGAGCGCCAGCGAGCACCAGUGGUUGUUAUAUCCCACCAGGCCGUACUGCGAGCGUUGUACUCGUAUUUUGCCGACAGGCCUUUGAGGGAAGUUCCAGACAUGGAGAUGCCACUCCAUACCAUAAUCUUUCUGCUGACAACAGUAAUAGAUUCGAAGUUCAUUAUCAUUUUCUAUAAUUCUUAAAAUGUGAUAGAAAUUGUUUGACAUAGAUGCCAUAUUUGGAUGAGCGGUCUCCAUUAGAGAUGGACUAUGCAGAUUCCUUAUCUGGAAUUGUGGAAGCUCUAACUUACACCAUUCCGUGCAUUCCUAUUGAUGCAUCAAAGUGAAUUUUACCUGCAGGUUCAGCCUGUGCUUCAUCAGGUUCAUCUUGAUCAUCCGGUGGACUCAUGUUUAGAUCAGGUACAUCUGCCUCUUUCGCUGAACUACUCUAUUUGUUCUCGGUCUCUAUUUAUGAACUGAUCAUGUACACUGGGACUAAACUGCUAUGUGCAUGAGAUGGAGCCGGCGCUUUGUGUGGAGGGCAGCGGUAGGCUAGGUCGGCGGAGGAGCUUGGGUGCUCCAAAGGCAUGGUCCACGAGGAAUAGGCGAUGAAGGGCGAUCUUUACAUUGGCCGCAUCGAGGAGGCCAUGUCCCUGAAACGGAGCGGCGGUGCCUCAUCCACUGCUUCCUCAAGCACAAGAACAACUCAUCCGCUGCUUCCUCAACCAGAAGAACAACUCCAUCAGAGUUGUGGACAGCGUUGCCAAAACGGCCACAUCUAACUAGUAAUCUAUGUGACAACACAUGCCGUGUAAAGUGAGAAUGCCGUUUAGUUGUGUAAAAUGUGAGUUCAUUUUAGUUCUGUAAGUUAGUUAGCUACAAUCUACUUAACUUAUGUAAGCAAUUUUAAUGCAUGAUCAUGUUGCCAUGUUGGAUUAAAACCUCA